GCUCCUGAAGUGGAUAUUUAAUUUUAGAUAUUGUUAAUAGAGAUUAAGUGCAGUUAUAAUAAGGUUACUCUAUCGUGCGCGUUUUUUAGUUUGUUAUUUUAUUUUAUCGUAUAUUGUGUAAAUAAUAUUUACACAAUAAAUAAAUCUGUAAACGGCCAUCAAAACGUUGUUAAAUUUUAAUCGUGAAAAGUUCUUACUGCAAGACUUUACAAACUCGGCGUCAUAGGUUAAGGCACAACUAAAAUAUAAAUACAAACUCGCUUGAAAUACGCAGGAAAACAAAGUGAAAUUACAAAGCGAAGAAUUGGUAAGCCACAUAUUUACCGCAGCAGGGAAUUCGUCAUGAUCACUAGGCAGGUGGAGGUACACUGUACAGUUUAUUGAUCGCGCACCUGCUUAUAGGAGCUCUCUUGCUGGAAUCAAUAAUUUUUAUACGCUUGAUGACAAUUUCUUCUUUAAUAAUCCAUUUGAAAAUGGCGCUUAAACUUGCGGACGUAGAUUUUUCGCAAGGUUUUUUAACUUGUAAUAUGCCAUACAUACAAAAUUCGAGUAUCAGAAAUACCUGCUGCUAUAUUAUCUGUAUUUGUUAUUGUAACAAUGGAGUAUAGGAAUAAUUUAGUAGGUGGAAAAGUUUUUUAAAUAAAAGCAUGUAUUUUUAUUAAUAAAAUAUUCAUCACAAA
This is a long non-coding RNA of Nasonia vitripennis (jewel wasp), 680 nucleotides long. RefSeq lists it as uncharacterized. NCBI's taxonomy places the organism in Eukaryota, Metazoa, Arthropoda, Insecta, Hymenoptera, Pteromalidae. The transcript is spliced from 2 exons. The record is from RefSeq and is a predicted model, not a curated record.